RNAcentral lists this ribosomal RNA (1244 nucleotides) under metagenome. RNAcentral describes it as "bacterial LSU rRNA". It matches the Rfam family "Bacterial large subunit ribosomal RNA", at positions 1564 to 2817 of the family's 2925-position model. The record is from RNAcentral.
UGAAUACGAGAUGCUACGGCGUCGAAGCAGUGUAUGUCAGACUUCCAAGAAAAGCUCGCAAUGUCAUAAAUAAAGAAUGCCUGUACCAUAACCGACAUAGGUGGGUAGGUAGAGUAUACUAAGGGGCGCGAGAUAACUCUCUCUAAGGAACUCGGCAAAAUAACUCCGUAACUUCGGGAGAAGGAGUGCCUUCUUUAAGAAGGUUGCAAUAACAAGAUCCAAGCAACUGUUUAUCAAAAACACAGGUCUCCGCUAAGUCGUAAGACGAUGUAUGGGGGCUGACGCCUGCCCAGUGCCAGAAGGUUAAAGAAGUUGGUUAGCUUUUGCGAAGCUGAUGACUGAAGCCCUGGUGAACGGCGGCCGUAACAAUAACGGUCCUAAGGUAGCGAAAUUCCUUGUCGGGUAAGUUCCGACCCGCACGAAAGGCGUAAUGAUUUGGAUACUGUCUCGGAGAGGGACUCGGUGAAAUAGACUUGUCUGUGAAGAUGCGGACUACCUGCACCAGGACAGAAAGACCCUAUGAAGCUUUACUGUAACUUGAAAUUGAAAUUGGACUUUAUUUGCGCAGUAUAGGUGGAAGGCGUUGAAAGUAAUCUUGCGGGAUUAGUGGAGCCAUCAGUGAGAUACCACUCCUAUAAUGUUAGAUUUCUAACUUUGGAUCAUGAUCUGGUCAAAGAACAGUUUCAGGCGGGCAGUUUGACUGGGGCGGUCGCCUCCCAAAUGGUAACGGAGGCGUACAAAGGUUUCCUCUGAACGGGUAGAAAUCGUAUCUAGAGUGUAAAGGCAUAAGGAAGCUUGACUGUGAGACCUACAAGUCGAGCAGGGACGAAAGUCGGUCUUAGUGAUCUGACGGUGCUGAGUGGAAAGGCCGUCACUCAACGGAUAAAAGUUACUCUAGGAUAACAGGCUGAUCUCCCCCAAGAGUUCACAUCGACGGGGAGGUUUGGCACCUCGAUGUCGGCUCAUCGCAUCCUGGGGCGGUAGUACGUCCCAAGGGUUGGGCUGUUCGCCCAUGAAAGCGGUACGCGAGCUGGGUUCAGAACGUCGUGAGACAGUUCGGUCCAUAUCCGGUGUAGGCGUUAGAAUAUUGAGAGGAGCCUUCUUUAGUACGAGAGGACCGAGAAGGACAUACCUCUGGUGUACCAGUUAUCGUGCCAACGGUAAACGCUGGGUAGCUAUGUAUGGAGAGGAUAACCGCUGAAAGCAUCUAAGUGGGAAGCCCACCUCAAGAUGAGUAUCCUCAU